This 392-nucleotide unclassified non-coding RNA is filed under the name Hevea brasiliensis (rubber tree). Lineage: Eukaryota; Viridiplantae; Streptophyta; Magnoliopsida; Malpighiales; Euphorbiaceae. The record is from RNAcentral.
AUUUAAGCUACAGAGGAAAUUGGUGGAUUUUUUAGGAGAUGGUAUAGCCAUGUAUAGAUUAGUUGUGAUAGGUGGUAAAAAUGUGAAGUUGACAUCUUAGGAGGGGUAAGAUUCUUCUAAAUGUCCAGGAGGAACUCCUUCAUGAAAUGGGAAAUAAUUAUUUUUCAAAAUGCAUUAAAUAAAGACAGCUGAGAAGACUUGUAUGAAAAGCAUUCUACUUUGAAGCUUUGGAUGCUUAUAUCAUUUUCUUUGCUAAUAGUAAUUUAAGACAAAAAUAUAAAAUGUCAACUUGUUGGUCAUAUAUACUCAUCAUAUAUUUCUGUCACAUUUCAUCCCUUCCCCCCUUCUUUUCCUUGAUUUUUAAAUUCAGGCCAUGUUUAUGUUAGUUGUUG